CCUAUAGAGUCCGCAGCAAAAUCAGGUGAAAAAGACAUAGUAACAAUACUCCUUGAAAAAGGAGCAGAUAUUAAUAAGGGGAAUCCUUUAGCGUCUGCAGUAUGGAGAGGUAACAAAGACAUAGUAACACUACUCCUUGAAAAAGGAGCAGAUAUUAAUAAGGGGGAUGCUUUAGCGUAUGCAGCAUGGAGAGGUAACAAAGACAUAGUAACACUACUCCUUGACAAAGGAGCAGAUAUU
Long non-coding RNA from Pecten maximus, 240 nucleotides. RefSeq lists it as uncharacterized. NCBI's taxonomy places the organism in Eukaryota, Metazoa, Mollusca, Bivalvia, Pectinida, Pectinidae. The transcript has 3 exons. The record is from RefSeq and is a predicted model, not a curated record.